RNAcentral lists this small nucleolar RNA (107 nucleotides) under Gossypium arboreum. Its description in RNAcentral is "Plant small nucleolar RNA R71". It matches the Rfam family "Plant small nucleolar RNA R71". From Rfam's summary of the family: R71 is a member of the C/D box family of snoRNAs containing the C (UGAUGA) and D (CUGA) box motifs. Multiple nearly identical copies of this snoRNA have been identified in Arabidopsis, and it is thought to function as a 2'-O-ribose methylation guide for 18S ribosomal RNA. The record is from Rfam by way of RNAcentral. Lineage: Eukaryota; Viridiplantae; Streptophyta; Magnoliopsida; Malvales; Malvaceae.
AACCCAUGGUGCGGGCACCUUCUCAAUAGAUCCUUGUAUCUCUCCCAUGCAUCAUAAAGUGUUUCUAAAUCCAUCUACACAAAAGAAGAAAUAUCAUUCAUUAAUUU